Molecule: ribosomal RNA, 269 nt
Filed under: uncultured prokaryote
Description: partial 16S ribosomal RNA
Rfam family: Bacterial small subunit ribosomal RNA
Source: RNAcentral
UACGUAGGGUGCAAGCGUUAUCCGGAAUUAUUGGGCGUAAAGCGUUCGUAGGUGGUUUAUUAAGUUUGCGAUAAAAUCCGGUCGCUCAACGAUCGAAUUGUUGCGAAAACUGAUAGACUGGAGAUUGGCAGGGGCAACUGGAAUUCUGCAAGUAGGGGUAAAAUCCGUUGAUAUGCAGAGGAACACCAAAAGCGAAGGCAGGUUGCUGGGCCAUUUCUGACGCUGAGGAACGAAAGCGUGGGGAGCAAACAGGAUUAGAUACCCCAGUA